This 22-nucleotide small nuclear RNA is filed under the name Arabidopsis thaliana (thale cress). RNAcentral describes it as "snRNA_01764". The record is from RNAcentral. Lineage: Eukaryota; Viridiplantae; Streptophyta; Magnoliopsida; Brassicales; Brassicaceae.
GAUAUCGGAAAUAGGUAAAUCC